Molecule: transfer RNA, 74 nt
Filed under: Microlunatus kandeliicorticis
Lineage: Bacteria; Bacillati; Actinomycetota; Actinomycetes; Propionibacteriales; Propionibacteriaceae
Also listed under: 3 other names
Description: Friedmanniella endophytica tRNA-Gly
Rfam family: tRNA
About the family: Transfer RNA (tRNA) molecules are approximately 80 nucleotides in length. Their secondary structure includes four short double-helical elements and three loops (D, anti-codon, and T loops).
Source: RNAcentral
GCGGAUGUAGUUCAAUGGCAGAACAUCAGCUUCCCAAGCUGAUAGUGCGGGUUCGAUUCCCGUCAUCCGCUCCA